UAAUGCACUGAGGCUGACGGGUGGCGGCGAUAUCCGCCUUGGUGCAUCGCCGCUGCUGCAUCUCGCGCUGUCGGCGCGGCAACUCGAUGCGGACCGUCUGUUGACCAGAGGCGCAGCAAACGCCGAACCGCUGCGGGUGCUUCCCGCNNNNNNNGCUGGUGACGUCGCUGCCGGUGAUGCCGCUUCCGGCGCAGAUCGAAGCCAGUGCCGAUCAGA
This 216-nucleotide unclassified non-coding RNA is filed under the name Hevea brasiliensis (rubber tree). Lineage: Eukaryota; Viridiplantae; Streptophyta; Magnoliopsida; Malpighiales; Euphorbiaceae. The record is from RNAcentral.